ACGAUUCUGGUUCUUCUCCUUCU
This 23-nucleotide non-coding RNA is filed under the name Arabidopsis thaliana (thale cress). Lineage: Eukaryota; Viridiplantae; Streptophyta; Magnoliopsida; Brassicales; Brassicaceae. The record is from RNAcentral.